AAAUUGAAGAGUUUGAUCAUGGCUCAGAUUGAACGCUGGCGGCAGGCCUAACACAUGCAAGUCGAACGGUAACAGGAAGCAGCUUGCUGCUUUGCUGACGAGUGGCGGACGGGUGAGUAAUGUCUGGGAAACUGCCUGAUGGAGGGGGAUAACUACUGGAAACGGUGGCUAAUACCGCAUAACGUCGCAAGACCAAAGAGGGGGACCUUCGGGCCUCUUGCCAUCAGAUGUGCCCAGAUGGGAUUAGCUAGUUGGUGAGGUAACGGCUCACCAAGGCGACGAUCCCUAGCUGGUCUGAGAGGAUGACCAGCCACACUGGAACUGAGACACGGUCCAGACUCCUACGGGAGGCAGCAGUGGGGAAUAUUGCACAAUGGGCGCAAGCCUGAUGCAGCCAUGCCGCGUGUAUGAAGAAGGCCUUAGGGUUGUAAAGUACUUUCAGCGGGGAGGAAGGUGUUGCGGUUAAUAACCGCAGCAAUUGACGUUACCCGCAGAAGAAGCACCGGCUAACUCCGUGCCAG
RNAcentral lists this ribosomal RNA (521 nucleotides) under Salmonella enterica. Its description in RNAcentral is "bacterial SSU rRNA". It matches the Rfam family "Bacterial small subunit ribosomal RNA", at positions 1 to 511 of the family's 1533-position model. Lineage: Bacteria; Pseudomonadati; Pseudomonadota; Gammaproteobacteria; Enterobacterales; Enterobacteriaceae. The record is from RNAcentral.